Long non-coding RNA from Felis catus (domestic cat), 844 nucleotides. RefSeq lists it as uncharacterized. The transcript has 2 exons. The record is from RefSeq and is a predicted model, not a curated record. NCBI's taxonomy places the organism in Eukaryota, Metazoa, Chordata, Mammalia, Carnivora, Felidae.
GUUACAUUCGGAAAGACUCAGGAUCUGUGAGCUUCUGUGAGCUUCCCCGGGGCUGCCAGAGUCAGAACAUUUUUACCCAAAGAACCAGAUGUGAGACAUUAAAACGGGGCGGGCUUCCUGAUGCCAGGAGCUGAUUCUGCUACUGACAUCAGAAACAAAGGCAACAAGGCAACGUUCUAGUAUCUCAGUUCCGAAAGAGGCUAACGAAACGCUUUAGAAGAGUUUCUAAAGAGGUCUGAAAGUUGUUUCCCUUUUAGAUUCCCAUGCAAUUGGGAAGGUGCCGCUUGUUCACACAGGAGCAGGAGUCUUAGCGUCUGAGAGAACCAGAUUGGCGCACAGCAUAAAACACAAGGAGAACACAAACAACUGAGAAAAACCAACUCUCCCAACACAGCUACUACAAUAAGUGAACUGAACUAGAUGUCAAAGACUGUCAAAACCCUAAACUCUCAUUCACCAGGAGGCAGAGUCCAGAAAAUGUGAGAUUAGAAGAGUCAAUGAAUUACUUCCUUGCUCCAAGAAACAAUUAAUGGGACGAAUGGUGUUUGCAGACUAUUUCAUCUGGCCCUGCCAUAGACUGUUACAGUCAGGGCUGUGAUUUCAAGUUCAUGGCCUCAUAGUUCUAAACUUUUCUCAAAGGUCCCCAAAUCAAAUCCGUAUGAUGAAUUCCCUUCACACACAUGCCAUGCCUCUGCAUCCAAAUGGCAUCUGGCCUGCUGGAACAUCUCCAGGGAUGUAGAGGGAAGGGGGAUUCAUGAUAAGGAAGGGGAGCCCAAUCCAUUUUCAGAUUCUGUUCUGUUAGGCAGGGCUUUCUUACAUUAAACCGAAUCUUGCCUUCCUAGAA